This is a long non-coding RNA of Pleuronectes platessa (European plaice), 383 nucleotides long. RefSeq lists it as uncharacterized. The record is from RefSeq and is a predicted model, not a curated record. NCBI's taxonomy places the organism in Eukaryota, Metazoa, Chordata, Actinopteri, Pleuronectiformes, Pleuronectidae. The transcript is spliced from 3 exons.
CAGGAGGAUGUUUCUCUCCAGCGCCCCCUGUGAAACCUGAAAGUAGCUGAAGUAAAAUCAGAUGGGACCCCAGUGAGCAGCUUGAAGAAGACACCACAGUGACUGUGUCCUCUAGUCACCCAGCACUCCCACUCAGUGGGCUGUGGGCCUCAGGCUGCAGAAUCACAGGGAGGCCUUCAUUACCUGUCAACCUCUCACCAGGCUGUGAGAUGGACCAUCAUUCACUCUGAUCCCCACAAGUCCACACGGUCAUAAUGAAGACAUGAACGCCUCGAUAAAGGCCUGCACAGUUCACAUGUAGGAUGCGGUGGUGCAGCGGCCGCUGCGCAGGUUUGCGGACAGAGGUGAACCGUCUCCCCGGCUUUGGAGCCCGAAACCCGGAG